GCCAUGCUAGUUGUGCGAGGUUUAGACCCGCAGCGGAAAGCUCAGUAACACGUGGCCAAGCUACCCUGUGGACGGGAAUACUCUCGGGAAACUGAGGCUAAUCCCCGAUAACGCUUUGCUCCUGGAAGGGGCAAAGCCGGAAACGCUCCGGCGCCACAGGAUGCGGCUGCGGUCGAUUAGGUAGACGGUGGGGUAACGGCCCACCGUGCCCAUAAUCGGUACGGGUUGUGAGAGCAAGAGCCCGGAGACGGAAUCUGAGACAAGAUUCCGGGCCCUACGGGGCGCAGCAGGCGCGAAACCUUUACACUGUACGAAAGUGCGAUAAGGGGACUCCGAGUGUGAAGGCAUAUAGCCUUCACUUUUGUACACCGUAAGGUGGUGUACGAAUAAGGACUGGGCAAGACCGGUGCCAGCCGCCGCGGUAAUACCGGCAGUUCGAGUGAUGGCCGAUAUUAUUGGGCCUAAAGCGUCCGUAGCUGGCUGAACAAGUCCGUUGGGAAAUCUGUCCGCUUAACGGGCAGGCGUCCAGCGGAAACUGUUCAGCUUGGGACCGGAAGACCUGAGGGGUACGUCUGGGGUAGGAGUGAAAUCCUGUAAUCCUGGACGGACCGCCGGUGGCGAAAGCGCCUCAGGAGAACGGAUCCGACAGUGAGGGACGAAAGCUAGGGUCUCGAACCGGAUUAGAUACCCGGGUAGUCCUAGCUGUAAACGAUGUCCGCUAGGUGUGGCGCAGGCUACGAGCCUGCGCUGUGCCGUAGGGAAGCCGAGAAGCGGACCGCCUGGGAAGUACGUCUGCAAGGAUGAAACUAAAGGAAUGGCG
RNAcentral lists this ribosomal RNA (820 nucleotides) under Halobacterium salinarum. RNAcentral's name for it is "bacterial SSU rRNA". It matches the Rfam family "Archaeal small subunit ribosomal RNA", at positions 48 to 870 of the family's 1478-position model. The record is from RNAcentral. Lineage: Archaea; Methanobacteriati; Methanobacteriota; Halobacteria; Halobacteriales; Halobacteriaceae.